GAAUGUCUAAGAUGGCUGGACUCCAAGAAAGCCAACUCAGUUCUCUAUAUAUGUUUUGGGAGCUUAUUCAACUUUUCAGCUCCUCAAUUACUUGAGAUUGCUAUGGCUCUUGAAGCUUCUGGACUNNNNAUUUGGGUUGUGCGAACUGAAGAAAAAAGAGAGAAUGAAGUGACAAAAGAAUGGCUCGCAGAAGGAUUUGAGAAGAGGAUGGAGGGGAAAGGUUUGAUCAUAAGGG
RNAcentral lists this unclassified non-coding RNA (235 nucleotides) under Hevea brasiliensis (rubber tree). The record is from RNAcentral. Lineage: Eukaryota; Viridiplantae; Streptophyta; Magnoliopsida; Malpighiales; Euphorbiaceae.